This 1810-nucleotide long non-coding RNA is filed under the name Daphnia pulicaria. RNAcentral's name for it is "uncharacterized LOC124340447, transcript variant X2". The record is from RNAcentral. Lineage: Eukaryota; Metazoa; Arthropoda; Branchiopoda; Diplostraca; Daphniidae.
CGAAACUUGUUAAGUAAGUUGGCAUACAACAAAACUCGUUGAAGAAAAGUCGAUAAACGAAAUGAAUUCGGUAGAAAUCUCUGGUUUUAUCCCCAAACUUGGUCUAGUCGUAGUAGGAAUUGUGUUGGUAGAAUGCACUCGGCAAGGCUUGAAUUACCUGCAGCGAAAAAAUUCAAAGCCAGUGAUUAGACAAGUGAUUUUCUUUCCUGAUAAACAAAUUGCCUGUAAAGACUUUUUCGAUUCAGUCGAAGGCUGUUCGAGGAUUCGCUGCGAUUUCAGCCACACAACAACUGGCUUCAGGCAACUACUUUCCCACAUAAAGUCAGCAAGGAAAUCUAUCGACAUUGCUGUUUAUUGCAUCUCUUGUUUUGAGAUUGCAGAUGUUGUGUUGCAACGUCACAAAGUUGGAGUCAGAGUCAGAGUGAUUACAGACCAGAGCAUGGAGAUAGCUUUCGGAUCCCAGAAUCACCGUUUUAUGAAAGAUGGGAUCCGGGUAUAUACCAACAAACCCCCAUUUCUAAUGCACCACAAGUUUUUUAUUAUUGACGAUGAGCUGCUUUGCUCUGGGUCCUUCAACUGGACUUCACAAGCUGUCACUGGUAACAACGAAUCUGUCAUAAUCACUAAUGAUCCCUGGACCGUUGAACCUUUUUGUGCUGAAUUUCAAAAAUUGUGGCAAGAAACUAAGCCUGGAAAUUAACUCUUGUAUUUAUAGCUAAUACCAUAGAUUUUCUGUUUAUUCUAAUCUUCACCUUUAUUAGGGGGACUUCUUCUUUAUCUCUUAAAGGGACCUUGAAUUUUUGUUUGCCAAAAUUUUACUUAUAGCACAUGCGAUUCCGAUACCUGCUCAGAGACAGUAGAACUCCAAUAAAUUCUUUAAUUAUUUUCAUGAUCAACAAUAGAACUACAUUGAAUUUUAAAUGUCCGACAAUAGAACUCCAACGAUUUUAAAACUAUUUUCAUGUCCGAUAGUAGAAUAGAAGAACUUCAUUGAAUUUUGAAUAUCUCCAAGUGUCCGACAAUCCAUCCAUCCUUGAUUCCUUUCCGUACAGUCAAACGUGGAGGAAUCUUUUGGCUCCGUCAGUAGGUGGCUAAAAUCAAGUUGUCCCCCCCAGCCGCCAGAUGACGCGAGUGUCUUUGAGGGGACGAAAUUUUCGCCAUUUUGUUCCGAAACGCCAAGUGAAAAGGCAAUCUGGCAUAUAAUUUUCAUUUGGCCAAAUAAUCGAUCACGUGGACUGAAACUGCUUUCCAAUUUGCCGAAAUGUCGUCGGUUAUUAGCUUUACCUGUUCGGAUGCACGUCUCAUCUCACGCCGAAACACUACAGAGUUGGUGUUCAGGUUGGAGAUCCCGUUGCUUAACUGUUGCAGAAUGUGAGAACUCAACAAAGUCUGAGCUACAUGGUCGGCAUCAUUACAGUGAUUUCGUUGGAGCCAGCUGGUAAAAGGUGUAAUCGAGUCAAGUUGAGCUGCUGCUGCUGCAUGCAGUUUAUCGAGCUGGUGUUAUCCUGAAGUGUCAUUGCAGGAAGACUUUUUGAAAUGGACUUGAUGAUACUUAAACUAUGCCUGUGCAGUGGUUUUGCAGCCUGUUUCCAGUUGAGAGAUGUGAUUAUGCAGCUGAUACAGGAUUGAAGAAAAAGAACUGAAGUAGCUGUGCUGGUGUUCUCCUGAAAUUGCUGUGCCACAGGAGUUGCAGAUAGUGUUUGGUUCCUCAUAGAAGUUUGUUUAAAGAGUUUGGAGAUGAUCAUCCACUUCUGACUAUAACUUAUGUGAAACUUCAAAGUUGUAAGAAAUAUACAAGUCAAGUGCUAAA